GUGUCAGCAGCCGCGGUAAGACGAACUGUGCGAACGUUAUUCGGAAUCACUGGGCUUACAGGGUGCGUAGGCGGCCUGUUAAGUAGGGUGUGAAAUCCCCCGGCCCAACCGGGGAAUGGCGCUCUAAACUAGCAGGCUUGAGUGAGCUAGGGGUACACGGAACUUCCAGUGGAGCGGUGAAAUGUGUUGAUAUUGGAAGGAACACCGGAGGCGAAAGCGGUGUACUGGGGCUUAACUGACGCUGAGGCACGAAAGCCAGGGGAGCGAACGGGAUUAGAUACCCCGGUAGUCC
Molecule: ribosomal RNA, 292 nt
Filed under: uncultured bacterium
Lineage: Bacteria
Description: partial 16S ribosomal RNA
Rfam family: Bacterial small subunit ribosomal RNA
Source: RNAcentral